Neofelis nebulosa (Clouded leopard) is the source of this 2257-nucleotide long non-coding RNA. RefSeq lists it as uncharacterized. The transcript is spliced from 2 exons. NCBI's taxonomy places the organism in Eukaryota, Metazoa, Chordata, Mammalia, Carnivora, Felidae. The record is from RefSeq and is a predicted model, not a curated record.
CAGAACCACAGCUGUGUGCCUACACAGGGAACGUUUGCAAGGCAUUCUGUUUUAUUCUUCGCUGCAGGUCUCAGAAUGUCCACUGAGGAGGGAACGCUUUGAACUGGGCAUCAAGCUCUGGGCCCGAUUCCAAGUCAGCUCUAAAAACAGUCGGAGCUACCCCGGGUCCUCUACUUGCUGGGUGGAAAGGCUGAGAGAGUGGCUCCUCACGUCUGCGUGGUCCCCCAUGUCGUCUGCACGGCCCUGCUCUAAGCCAAGGCACCCACGAGGCAAGGCGCUUUUCUGAUGGCAGGACAUCCUCUCCCCACCCAGACCCCCAGCAAUUUCUCACCAGAGAGACAAAGCAUCUUUAUUUUAAAGGCUCCACGUAGCAUGUCCAGAAAUUUCUCCUGCUAUUAAGGAGGGGGUAGGGUGGGGAAAGGGCCGAUGAAGCUACUUACUUAAUGGCUCCUAACAGCUGUGGAAAGUUUGAUGCAGCAGGAGCACCCAGACAGAAAAUUAAAAAACUAAUAAAGUCCUCAGUGUGGGGGCACUGGCAUCAGGACAGCUUUACUUCUCCAGACACCUAAUAAAGAGACAUUCCGGGACACUCACUCAUAAGGGGAGUCUGCAGGGGUCACAGAGAACAGUGGAAAGCGAGCCAUGGAAACAUAGCAGUCACUCACAUCGCCGCGGGGAAGGUGUAACAGUGGGAAGUUUGCUGGCUUGGAAUCAGACCAUGCUUUGAAUUUGAGCUGUGUCAUUCAUCAGAUGAAUGACUUCACAGAAGUCAACUUAACCCUUCUCAUACUCAGUUUUUUCAUCUGUGAAAAUGGCAUUUGUUCAGAUAAAGUUAGAAGGGACAGGUGAAGGCGUCAAGGACGUUGCCCACCUUUGGUAUGUACUCAGUAAAGGUUGGUUUUUCUCCUCCCCACUUCCCAUAGGAGGGAUUUGGUAAAGAACACAUGUCAUUACCCUCAUGGAGUUUCCAGCUUCAUUGCUAAGUUUUUUUCUCAACUUUUUCCCAGUGGGUCUCAAACCUGAGUGAGCGUCAGAAUCCUCUGGAAGGCUUGUUAAAACACAGAUUGUUGGGCUCCACCCCAGAGUUUCGCAUUCUGUAGCUCUGGGAUGGAACGAAACACUUUGCAUUUCUAACAAGUUCCCAGAUGCUGCUAAUGCUGUUGAUGUAGGGACCGCACUUUGGGGAGCUCAGCUUUAUCAUGUUUUACCACAGGGCGGACCCUAUUGGUUACUCACCCAACAGCCACCCUUCUUCCCUGCUGACAUAGCCCUGAAUUGAUCUGUGUGAGCUGUCAGUGAGGAGCCCGGUGUGGGGCUCAAACCCACGAACCGUGAGAUCAUGACCUGAGCUGAAAUCAAGAGUGGGAUGCUUAACUGACUGAGCCACCCGGGCACCCCAGCACAGAAAGAUUCUUUGAUUUGUCUCUAAUUCAGUGCCAGAAGAUGUAUCAUGAUGGGUCAAAAGCAGUCAAGAUGUAUGAUGAUGGGUCAAAAGCAAUCAUGGUUAUCUCGGCUCCCUUCGCCACUCAUCAAUCUCAAGAUGGGCAAGUGCCCCACAGUGUCUAAAGAGAUGUGAGAAUGGAUUGGCUGAGAAAGACUCACAGGGAGAAGAGCUUCUGCCCCUUGCCCAUUCUUCCUGAAUGUGUACAUAUAGAUGAAGUUACAAUAGUCAUCUUGUGAGCAAGAGAAGACAAACAUGAGGAGGACCAAGAUCGCAGGGAUAUUAAGACAGAAAUACAGAAAGAAUCUAGAUCUCCUAAGGCAUCACUGAGUGUGCCCUUUGAGUUGCCUACCUUGACUUGUUCUUAAGUGAGGAAAAUCCACUCUUCUUUUUUGAAACCCCUGUAAUCCAUUUGUUGUUACUUGCAGCCAAACACACUCAUGAUUGAUACGACCUAUUGCAGUUCUGUGAUUUUGGUAACGUUGACCCCAUGUCAUAGAUGAAGACAGCAAGGCUCGGAAAAAAGAAGUUGACAUAUAGUGGUAGAGCUUAGAUUCCAACUCAAGUUCCCUGAUUGUAAGCCCUUGGCAUUCUCCAAUGACCUAUAGCCUAACCAGUCUUAUUAUUCCUUCCUACCAAAAUAUGUAUUAUUCUGUUUUCCCUUAUAUUAAGGAAGAAGGACUUGAGAAGUCCCAUCUGUUCUGAGAUUUUCUUGUACCUCUGUUGUCAGCCAGCUGACUUUCAUUUCCUAAUUAAGUAGUUAAUUCUACCCACAUUUACCUGUAUAUAUAAAUAAAACCUUUGGACUUUGAUAUA